Molecule: unclassified non-coding RNA, 255 nt
Filed under: soil metagenome
Description: partial contains small subunit ribosomal RNA, internal transcribed spacer 1, and 5.8S ribosomal RNA
Source: RNAcentral
UUUCCGUAGGUGAACCUGCGGAAGGAUCAUUAUCAUACAAUCGAGGUGCAAAGGCUGUCGCUGACCUUCAGAGGUCGUGCACGCCCAAGUGCCUCUCACAUCCAUCUUACCCCCUUUGUGCACUGCCGCGUGGGUCUCUCAAUUUUUGGGGGGCUUGCGUUUUAACAUAAAACUCGAUUAUGGUGUAGAAUGUCUUUUUUCUUUUGCGGUCACACGCAAUCAAUACAACUUUCAACAACGGAUCUCUUGGCUCUC